AUACGUAGGGUGCGAGCGUUAAUCGGAAUUACUGGGCGUAAAGCGUGCGCAGGCGGCUUUAUAAGCCAGAUGAGAAAUCCCCGGGCUCAACCUGGGAACUGCAUUUGGAACUGUAAGGCUAGAGUACGGCAGAGGGGGGUAGAAUUCCACGUGUAGCAGUGAAAUGCGUAGAUAUGUGGAGGAAUACCGAUGGCGAAGGCAGCCCCCUGGGUCGAUACUGACGCUCAUGCACGAAAGCGUGGGGAGCAAACAGGAUUAGAAACCCUAGUAGUCC
Molecule: ribosomal RNA, 274 nt
Filed under: uncultured bacterium
Lineage: Bacteria
Description: partial 16S ribosomal RNA
Rfam family: Bacterial small subunit ribosomal RNA
Source: RNAcentral